This 460-nucleotide ribosomal RNA is filed under the name uncultured bacterium. RNAcentral's name for it is "partial 16S ribosomal RNA". It matches the Rfam family "Bacterial small subunit ribosomal RNA", at positions 338 to 795 of the family's 1533-position model. The record is from RNAcentral.
CCUACGGGAGGCAGCAGUGAGGAAUAUUGGUCAAUGGACGGAAGUCUGAACCAGCCAAGUAGCGUGAAGGAUGACUGCCCUAUGGGUUGUAAACUUCUUUUAUAUGGGAAUAAAAUGCUCCACGUGUGGGGUUUUGCAUGUACCAUAUGAAUAAGGAUCGGCUAACUCCGUGCCAGCAGCCGCGGUAAUACGGAGGAUCCGAGCGUUAUCCGGAUUUAUUGGGUUUAAAGGGAGCGUAGGUGGCUUGUUAAGUGAGUUGUGAAAGUUUGGGGCUCAACCGUAAAAUUGCAGUUGAAACUGGCAGUCUUGAGUACAGUAGAGGUGGGCGGAAUUCGUGGUGUAGCGGUGAAAUACUUAGAUAUCACGAAGAACCCCGAUUGCGAAGGCAGCUUACUGGACUGGAACUGACACUGAUGCUCGAAAGGGCGGGUAUCAAACAGGAUUAGAUACCCGUGUAGUC